AUUGAACGCUGGCGGCAGGCCUAACACAUGCAAGUCGAACGGUAACAGGAAACAGCUUGCUGUUUCGCUGACGAGUGGCGGACGGGUGAGUAAUGUCUGGGAAACUGCCUGAUGGAGGGGGAUAACUACUGGAAACGGUAGCUAAUACCGCAUAACGUCGCAAGACCAAAGAGGGGGACCUUCGGGCCUCUUGCCAUCGGAUGUGCCCAGAUGGGAUUAGCUAGUAGGUGGGGUAACGGCUCACCUAGGCGACGAUCCCUAGCUGGUCUGAGAGGAUGACCAGCCACACUGGAACUGAGACACGGUCCAGACUCCUACGGGAGGCAGCAGUGGGGAAUAUUGCACAAUGGGCGCAAGCCUGAUGCAGCCAUGCCGCGUGUAUGAAGAAGGCCUUCGGGUUGUAAAGUACUUUCAGCGGGGAGGAAGGGAGUAAAGUUAAUACCUUUGCUCAUUGACGUUACCCGCAGAAGAAGGACCGGCUAACUCCGUG
RNAcentral lists this ribosomal RNA (490 nucleotides) under uncultured bacterium. Its description in RNAcentral is "partial 16S ribosomal RNA". It matches the Rfam family "Bacterial small subunit ribosomal RNA", at positions 30 to 507 of the family's 1533-position model. The record is from RNAcentral.